CGGGGUGUAGCGCAGCUUGGUAGCGCGCCGCGUUCGGGACGCGGAGGUCGUGGGUUCAAAUCCCGCCACCCCGACCA
Molecule: transfer RNA, 77 nt
Filed under: Candidatus Saccharibacteria bacterium CG_4_10_14_0_2_um_filter_52_9
Lineage: Bacteria; Candidatus Saccharimonadota
Also listed under: 3 other names
Description: tRNA-Pro
Rfam family: tRNA
About the family: Transfer RNA (tRNA) molecules are approximately 80 nucleotides in length.
Source: RNAcentral